UCAACCUGAGAGUUUGAUUCUGGCUCAGAACGAACGCUGGCGGCAGGCUUAACACAUGCAAGUCGAACGCACUCUUCGGAGUGAGUGGCAGACGGGUGAGUAACGCGUGGGAACAUGCCUAUCGGUACGGAAUAGCUCCGGGAAACUGGAAUUAAUACCGUAUACGUCCUUCGGGAGAAAGAUUUAUCGCCGAUAGAUUGGCCCGCGUUAGAUUAGCUAGUUGGUGGGGUAAAAGCCUACCAAGGCUACGAUCUAUAGCUGGUCUGAGAGGAUGAUCAGCCACACUGGGACUGAGACACGGCCCAGACUCCUACGGGAGGCAGCAGU
RNAcentral lists this ribosomal RNA (327 nucleotides) under Alphaproteobacteria bacterium. RNAcentral describes it as "bacterial SSU rRNA". It matches the Rfam family "Bacterial small subunit ribosomal RNA", at positions 1 to 355 of the family's 1533-position model. Lineage: Bacteria; Pseudomonadati; Pseudomonadota; Alphaproteobacteria. The record is from RNAcentral.